GCAGCAGUGAGGAAUUUUUCACAAUGGACGAAAGUCUGAUGGAGCAAUACCAUGUGAACGAUGAAGGUCUUCUGAUUGUAAAGUUCUUUUAUUUAGGAAAAAAAGCUUGAGAGGAAAUGAUUAAGCCUUGAUUGUACUAAAUCAUUAAGUGACAGCUAACUAUGUGCCAGCAGCUGCGGUAAAACAUAGGUCACGAGCAUUAUCCGGAUUUAUUGGGCGUAAAGGAAGCGUAGGCGGACAAAUUGAUCUAUUGUUAAAGGCACUUGCUCAACGAGUUGUUUGUGAUUGAUAUCGUUUGUCUAGAAUUAGUUAGGAGAUACUGGAAUUCAAUGUGUAGCGGUGGAAUGCGUAGAUAUAUUGAGGAACACCAGAGGCUAAGGCGAGUAUCUAGGACAUAAUUGACGCUGAGGCUUGAAAGCGUGGGGAGCAAAUGGGAUUAGAUACCCCAGUAGUCCACGCCGUAAACGAUGGUUAUAAGGMAUUUGGUUUAGGACUGAGUGCUGUAGCUAACGCGUUAAAUACCCCGCCUGGGUA
This 534-nucleotide ribosomal RNA is filed under the name uncultured Mycoplasma sp. Its description in RNAcentral is "bacterial SSU rRNA". Lineage: Bacteria; Bacillati; Mycoplasmatota; Mollicutes; Mycoplasmatales; Mycoplasmataceae. The record is from RNAcentral.